UACGGGGGGGGCAAGCGUUGUUCGGAAUUACUGGGCGUAAAGGGUUCGUAGGUGGCUCGCUAAGUCAUACGUGAAAUCCCUCGGCUUAACCGGGGAACUGCGUCUGAUACUGGAUGGCUUGAGAUUGGGAGAGGGAUGCGGAAUUCCAGGUGUAGCGGUGAAAUGCGUAGAUAUCUGGAGGAACACCGGUGGCGAAGGCGGCAUCCUGGACCAACACUGACGCUGAGGAGCGAAAGCCAGGGGAGCAAACGGG
This 253-nucleotide ribosomal RNA is filed under the name uncultured bacterium. RNAcentral's name for it is "partial 16S ribosomal RNA". It matches the Rfam family "Bacterial small subunit ribosomal RNA", at positions 524 to 776 of the family's 1533-position model. The record is from RNAcentral.